ACGGAGGGUGCAAGCGUUGUUCGGAAUUACUGGGCGUAAAGGGCGCGUCUUCUCCUUGAUAAGUCAGAUGUGAAAGCCCACGGCUUAACUGUGGAAGUGCAUUUGAAACUGUCAGACUUGAGUACCAGAGGGGAAAGUGGAAUUCCCGGUGUAGAGGUGAAAUUCGUAGAUAUCGGGAGGAAUACCGGUGGCGAAGGCGACUUUCUGGCGGGAUACUGACGCUGAGGCGCGAAAGCGUGGGGAGCAAACAG
This 251-nucleotide ribosomal RNA is filed under the name uncultured prokaryote. RNAcentral's name for it is "partial 16S rRNA". It matches the Rfam family "Bacterial small subunit ribosomal RNA", at positions 525 to 775 of the family's 1533-position model. The record is from RNAcentral.